GUUUCCGUAGUUAAGUGGUCAUCACGUUUGCCUCACACGCAAAAGGUCCCCAGUUCGAAACUGGGCGGAAACA
RNAcentral lists this transfer RNA (73 nucleotides) under Danionella translucida. It matches the Rfam family "tRNA". From Rfam's summary of the family: Transfer RNA (tRNA) molecules are approximately 80 nucleotides in length. Their secondary structure includes four short double-helical elements and three loops (D, anti-codon, and T loops). The record is from Rfam by way of RNAcentral. RNAcentral also lists the same sequence under 1 other name. Lineage: Eukaryota; Metazoa; Chordata; Actinopteri; Cypriniformes; Danionidae.